This 133-nucleotide ribosomal RNA is filed under the name Periophthalmus magnuspinnatus. Lineage: Eukaryota; Metazoa; Chordata; Actinopteri; Gobiiformes; Gobiidae. The record is from RNAcentral.
GCCCUUAAGAAAAUCACUUUGCGAAUGUCCGAUUUUGUCUGAUCUCUGAAGCGAAGCAGGGUUGGGUUUGGUGAGUACUUGGAUGGAUGCAGUGACUCUAGUGCAGGGGUGGGCAAACUACGGCCCGGGGGCU